Molecule: RNA transcript, 3249 nt
Organism: Malania oleifera
Lineage: Eukaryota; Viridiplantae; Streptophyta; Magnoliopsida; Santalales; Ximeniaceae
Exons: 7
Source: RefSeq, a predicted model, not a curated record
GUUUCCUGGUUCGCACCUGUACAGCGCUUUCCACCUGCAAAUUCCAAGUGUCACCUCUCCCUCCCGAGCGGUUCGCACUCCCUUGGUCUUUCCGCCCUGUCCAAACUCCACUUCUACCGCAACAAUGGUGACCUCGAAGACAGACCCUCCGCUCCAAUCUCCCCUCAAGAUGGACUCCCUCACUCACAUCGACCUUAGCACCAUGUCCCAGUCCGAGCUUCACUCCCUCUCUCUCACCUCCUCCGCCGCCUUUGAUCUCAAGAACACCGACGACGUCGUCGUUCCCAAAAUUGACCGUUCCAUCUUCAACGAAAGCGCCGGCAGCCGCCGCCAGACAUACUCCCGUCCUCGCCCAGCCCCCCGCAACUCCAACUCCGCCACCACUGUCCCCGGCCACCGCCGUCGAUUCGCUGGCCUUCUACCGGCCCAUAAAGCUCCUCCAGUCGCCGCCGACGACCUCGAGCGCUCCGAAAACAAAUGGAUCGUCAACUGCCUCAAACAUCUCAUUAGCGACGCCGAUAACUCGAAUUCGAAUGCGAAUGUGGUGGAUUCUACUUCUGCACCGCUAGUUGUUGCUGGAAAUGCGAACGCAGGGGGAGAACCGGCGGAGGUGGAGAGGCGUGCGGCGGUUGAUGCUGGGGAAAUGCAAAUUGUUGUGAGCACUGGCGAGAGGAAGAGAAAGAGAGGUACAAAAGCUGGGCUGGGAGUGCAUGGUGUCGUUGAGGUGGGGAUGUCUAUGGAGGUUGUGAAUAAAAAUGGGGCUGCUGUUGAUCUUGAUGCGCUCGCCGAUGCAGAAGAUCCAUACGGUGAGGAAUUGCGGAGGAGGACGGUGGGUAUGGAAAGUGAAGCAGAGUUGCUAGGGUUCUUGAAUGGUUUGGGCGGGCAGUGGGGAAGUAGGAGGAAGAAGAGGAAAAUUGUGGAUGCUUGUGAGUUUGGAGAUGCAUUGCCGAUCGGGUGGAAGCUUUUGAUCGGCCUCAAGAGGAAAGUGGGCAGAGUGUCCCUGUAUUGCCGCAGAUACAUAAGCCCUUGUGGACAACAAUAUGUAUCCUGCAAGGACGUCUCUUUAUAUUUGCAGUCUUAUUUUGGGCUUAAUGAAGCAAAUCAGUCAAUGAAUUCUCACGGUGACAAUGUUCUACAGGAUAAAUUACCCUCUGGAAAUAAUGUAGGACCUACCCACAAGGAUGACACAAGGAAAGGCAGCACUUCUUAUUCGACCUUGCCUGGUGCACUUACAUCGAAUCAAUACGAGAAGGAAAUCACCUUAUUGGGGAUUGAAAAUCUGGCAGAGGUUGAAGUACAUGACAUUUUUGAAUGUCAUAAAUGUAACAUGAUCUUUGAUGAAAAAGAUGCAUAUUUGCAGCACUUAUUGUCAUCACACCAGAAGACUACCAGGAGGUAUAGACUUGGUACUUCUGUUGGACAUGGUGUAAUAGUUAAAGAUGGAAGGUAUGAAUGCCAAUUUUGCCAUAAGGUAUUUAAUGAAAGGCGGCGCUAUAAUGGUCAUGUGGGAAUCCAUGUAAGGAACUAUGUCAGGAGCUCUGAAGAAUUGCCUGGUCAGGUAGGUGCCCAAAAGAGUGUCAGCUCUCCAUCCAGAGAUAAAUUGCCUUCGAGGAUCUCUAAAAUGGACGCUUUGAUUGAAAUUGCCCAGAGUUCUAUUCGAGAAGCCUCUACCGCUGAACUUACUCAUGAAAAGAAUAAAGUGAAUGUGGUUCCUACUCCAGACCUUCCUGCUGCGCCUUCUGAUGAUGCAAGGAACCUGGGCUCUCGUACCAAUGAACUGGAAGUGGAUGAGUGCAUGAGUGAUAGAACAUUGUCUGAUCCUGAGCUGAAUGAGCACGAUAGCGAGCAUGGAAUGACUGAUGAAGAAAUGGAGAAGAUUGGUGACACUGGCAAUGUUGUGGGCAAUUUUUCAGAUGCUGCUACUGUCUUAUCAGCAAGUGAGAAGAUUAGUAAUCUCUGUGAAAUGGUUGAUGGAGAUGAUGGUUCUGCAGUAAAUGCUGAAGGAAGUGAUCAGUUAGGCAUUGCAGAGUUAAGAGUUUCUGGAACCUAUCUACUUGCUCCAACUGGAGAUCAGAAGAAUUGUGUUGAUGAAAGUAAUACGAAUGUGAUCUCUGCUGAAACUCCAGUGGUAAAUGAGCUAGAGAAAUAUAGGAACAGUGAACUGAACAUUGGUUUUGGAGGCAGUGACCCUGAGGUAAAUAAUGAAAUUGUAAUUCAGACCUCUCAGAAAGAAUCAGAAGUAAAUAAGCUCGAGUGUGGAGCUACUGAUCCUUCAUCAUUGCCAUCACAUUGUUUUCCCAUGAUGAACUCUACCCCAGAUAAGGGAGGAGAGUUUUGUGGGGUUGACCAGAAGCUUGACAAUGAAAUGGAGUUUGAAGAACUGAGGUUGGAUGAAAUCGAAUCUUUCAGUUUUUUAAAUGAUGCUGUUGUGGAAGAGGGUUUUGGUGCCUCACUUCAGUUUGAAUCAGGUGAAGUUAUGGUAAACAUGGGUGGCAGACGUCAGCUUACUACUGUCUGUGUAUGGUGUAGGUUAGAGUUUAACCAUGAGGCUGUUGACUGUGAAACACAAUCAGAUUCUGUUGGCUAUAUGUGUCCAACCUGCAAGGCUAAGAUAUCUGGUCAACUCAAUGUGUUGGACAGCAUGAAUUCUGACCAUUUCUGAUGGAUUUUCCAAUUUGCGUUUGACAGUGAUAUUAUAUGCUAAAAAGAAUUUAUAGCAUGACAGAGGAUCAUUCUAGAAAGCAACGGAAGUGUUAUUCUUUUCAUUAUGAAAUUGAAAAAAAGAAGACCUAUCAUUGGGGAAGACGAUUGACACUACUAAGGCGUAUGAAGGACUCUACUACUUUGAGGAGUGGAUUGCUGGCUGGAGGGUCCUGCAACGUCAAGUAGAAUGCGGAUAAAUCUUUCAGCAGAAGAAGUUUAGCUUUUUUUUUUUUUUUGAUUAUCGUGGGAACUCCGGCCAUAGACGAGCCCCAAUCGGACCCCCCGAUGUGGCACCAAACCCACGGGACGGAAAACUUCCCCCCUGGUUCGCAGAAGUUUAGCUAUUUUGUUAUGUAUUUUGGUGUGUUAUGUACUUGAUGUGCUCCUCUAGAUCACAGGGGCGAGACAUAUGUAUGUUUUUCUUUGUUGCUACAUUCUCUUGUCAGGGCCCCUAUACCUUUUCAUCUUGUUACCUCUUGAAUGUUGCCUUGUUUGGCAUCUGCACAUUUUACAUUAAAAAAAAAAAAACCUCACCUUAUGUUGAAA